RNAcentral lists this long non-coding RNA (1295 nucleotides) under Numida meleagris (helmeted guineafowl). RNAcentral describes it as "lncRNA (ENSNMEG00000002025.1)". The record is from RNAcentral. Lineage: Eukaryota; Metazoa; Chordata; Aves; Galliformes; Numididae.
UGUUGUUUGAAAGAGAGGGCAGUUUUUCAUAAACACAAAUACAGGAUAUUUCCCUUUAAGAAAACUCAUGGAAUACAGCAUAUGUGAAAGCCUCAAUGCCUUGUCUUGUGAGAAUGCAAACCAAAGCCAGUCACACGGAUGUACAUGUUGGGGAAAAAUCACAGCGAAAUCAGAAACAGCUGUCUCCAUAAUUGCUUGUGUUACAUGGAGGAAAUUGAAAUGUAUGUAUAUUUUAAAAUGAGAAGAGUUGUUUUCACAACUCUAAUCUAAAGUUGUUUGGUGGUUCACAGGAUCGUUUUGAAAACUGAAUGGGAACCGGGGCAUCUCUUUGUCUGCAACCUUAUCAGCUGUCUCCUCUGUAAGCUCCUCAAUUAGUGAGCUACUGCAGAGAAGUGAGAAAAGGACCAUCCGUGGAAUGGCAUUCCUGAUAAAGAGCAGCAUUUUGUUGGUCUCCUCCACUUCCAGCGAUUGAUGAAACUUAUCUUGAAUUUGCUUCAGUCCACUUUAAAGCUUGUGGUGGUGACUGCUGAAAUACUUUGUAAUCCCUACCUGCUUAUUCUUAGAUUAUGAUGGAAAAUGUGCUGACCAGCCUUUGCUUUCGUUUUGUCAACUACAACCAAAAGGAGAUACUGGAAUACUUGUUCAAGCUGUUCUAAGGCCUCCUUGAACUGUAGAUGAGAAGUGUGUGACUAGUCUCAUUCACACCAGCUGAGGACUGAGAGCUCCCCAGGAAUUUUUCUUAAAAUAAACCAAAAGCCAACAACACUGUCUUCAAUGGAGAGAUGCGUUGUAGAGAAAACGGAUAUUCAGUGAUAGAAAAUGAAUCAGAAGAACGAACUUCAGAAAGGGUGGGAAGGACGGGAGAGAAAAAUGAAGUGAACUUUAAGGUGAGCUUAAUGCUACCCGUCUGUUACAUUCAUUUGUAUGCUGGAGCAGUGCUGACAAGCCUCCUGUUGUUCCGUGUAGCGUUUGUGUCAGCCAACCAGCUGGGAAGCCUUCCACUUCAGAGAGGUGCUAAGAGAAGGAAGGUGAAGUUAAGAGAAGAAAAAAAUGGAGGAAUUUCAUGAACAUACUUAUCAUCUUUCCUUUACACAGAAACUGUUGGGCCAUUUAUUAUGACUGCGCUGUCCACACAAGCUGAGGUGACAAAAUGUACUCUCCCAGCUUACAGGAUUUUGUACCUCAUUGGGAUGAGGCUGGUAAUGCCGCAGAAGUGAAAAACCCUGGUCAUACAGACCUCUCCCUUCUUCCUUGCUCUUGCUCAUUAGCUCAAUAAAGCACAGAAUGUUUCAACA